Molecule: ribosomal RNA, 511 nt
Filed under: uncultured bacterium
Lineage: Bacteria
Description: bacterial SSU rRNA
Rfam family: Bacterial small subunit ribosomal RNA
Source: RNAcentral
UCCUGCGAAAGCAGGCUCCCGCAAGGGCCGAUGUCGAGGUGCUGCAUGGCUGUCGUCAGCUCGUGUCGUGAGAUGUUGGGUUAAGUCCCGCAACGAGCGCAACCCUUGUCGCUGUUGCCAUCACGUUAUGGUGGGCACUCUGCGGAGACUGCCGGUGAUAAACCGGAGGAAGGUGGGGAUGACGUCAAGUCAGCAUGGCCUUUAUGUCUGGGGCUACACACGUGCUACAAUGGCCGGUACAAACCGUCGCGAUGCCGUAAGGUGGAGCUAAUCGGAGAAAGCCGGUCUCAGUUCGGAUUGCAGGCUGCAACUCGCCUGCAUGAAGUUGGAAUCGCUAGUAAUCGCGGAUCAGCACGCCGCGGUGAAUACGUUCCCGGGCCUUGUACACACCGCCCGUCACAUCACGAAAGCUGGCUGUACUAGAAGUCACCACGCUAACCCGCAAGGGGGGCAAGUGCCUAAGGUAUGGUCAGUGAUUGGGGUGAAGUCGUAACAAGGUAGGCGUAGAUGA